RNAcentral lists this transfer RNA (39 nucleotides) under Leucophyllum laevigatum. RNAcentral describes it as "partial tRNA-His". The record is from RNAcentral. RNAcentral also lists the same sequence under 6 other names. Lineage: Eukaryota; Viridiplantae; Streptophyta; Magnoliopsida; Lamiales; Scrophulariaceae.
GGAUGUAGCCAAGUGGAUCAAGGCAGUGGAUUGUGAAUC